GCAGUGGUGGUUCAGUGGUAGAAUUCUCACCUUGCAUGCAAGAGACCCAGGUUCAAUUCCUGGCCAAUGCA
Transfer RNA from Loxodonta africana (African savanna elephant), 71 nucleotides. It matches the Rfam family "tRNA". From Rfam's summary of the family: Transfer RNA (tRNA) molecules are approximately 80 nucleotides in length. Their secondary structure includes four short double-helical elements and three loops (D, anti-codon, and T loops). Lineage: Eukaryota; Metazoa; Chordata; Mammalia; Proboscidea; Elephantidae. The record is from Rfam.